Molecule: ribosomal RNA, 458 nt
Filed under: uncultured bacterium
Lineage: Bacteria
Description: bacterial SSU rRNA
Rfam family: Bacterial small subunit ribosomal RNA
Source: RNAcentral
UACGGGAGGCAGCAGUGGGGAAUAUUGCACAAUGGGCGAAAGCCUGAUGCAGCUAUGCCGCGUGUAUGAAGAAGGCCUUAGGGUUGUAAAGUACUUUCAUCGGGGAGGAAAAAACAAAACUAAUAAUUUUAUUUCUUGACGUUACCCGAAAAAGAAGCACCGGCUAACUCCGUGCCAGCAGCCGCGGUAAUACGGAGGGUGCUAGCGUUAAUCAGAAUUACUGGGCGUAAAGAGCACGUAGGUGGUUUUUUUAAGUCAGAUGUGAAAUCCCUGGGCUUAACCUAGGAACUGCAUUUUGAAACUGAAAUACUAGAGUAUCGUAGAGGGAGGUAGAAUUCUAGGUGUAGCGGUGAAAUGCGUAGAUAUUUUGGAGGAAUACCUGUGGCGAAAGCGGCCUCCUAAACGAAUACUGACACUGAGGGUGCGAAAGCGUGGGGAGCAAACAGGGAUUAGAUACC